UACAGAGGGUGCGAGCGUUAAUCGGAAUUAUUGGGCGUAAAGCGCACGUAGGUGGGCAUAUAAGUUAAGUGUAAAAUACCUGGGCUUAACCUGGGUGGGUCAUUUAAGACUGUAGGUCUAGAGUAUAGGAGAGGGGGAUAGAAUUUCCGGUGUAGCGGUGAAAUGCGUAGAUAUCGGAAGGAAUACCCGUGGCGAAGGCGAUCCUCUGGCCUAAUACUGACACUGAGGUGCGAAAGCGUGGGGAGCAAACAGG
RNAcentral lists this ribosomal RNA (253 nucleotides) under uncultured bacterium. RNAcentral's name for it is "partial 16S ribosomal RNA". It matches the Rfam family "Bacterial small subunit ribosomal RNA", at positions 524 to 776 of the family's 1533-position model. The record is from RNAcentral.